AUACGGAGGGUGCAAGCGUUAUCCGGAUUUAUUGGGUUUAAAGGGUGCGCAGGCGGAAUGAUCAGUCAGUGGUGAAAUCCUACAGCUCAACUGUAGAACUGCCAUUGAUACUGUCAUUCUUGAGUACAAUUGAAGUGGGCGGAAUGUAUCAUGUAGCGGUGAAAUGCAUAGAUAUGAUACAGAACUCCGAUAGCGAAGGCAGCUCACUAAAUUGUAACUGACGCUCAGGCACGAAAGCGUGGGGAGCAAACAGGAUUAGAAACCCUAGUAGUCC
Molecule: ribosomal RNA, 274 nt
Filed under: uncultured bacterium
Lineage: Bacteria
Description: partial 16S ribosomal RNA
Rfam family: Bacterial small subunit ribosomal RNA
Source: RNAcentral